Molecule: long non-coding RNA, 576 nt
Organism: Daktulosphaira vitifoliae (grape phylloxera)
Lineage: Eukaryota; Metazoa; Arthropoda; Insecta; Hemiptera; Phylloxeridae
Exons: 2
Source: RefSeq, a predicted model, not a curated record
UGUUGUGCAUGCAGCAAUGCAGUUACCCAAGCUCCAUUCAUUUAUAACUGCUAAUAAAUCAUUUUUUAAAUUUUCUGAUGUAUGUGAUUCAGAGUUUUUAAAACAAGAAAGAAGAUAUGAUUUUGAUUGACAUUCUUUAUCUAUAAAAUGGUAAUAAUGAUUUUGAAAGAGUUUUUUUCGAUGGAAGUGUGUAUCCAGGAUUAAGUAAUUUUAAAAGUUUGACGAACUCUUCGUCUUCAACGAUACUGAAAGGAUAGUAUCCUUGACAAUCAUUUUUAGAACUUGUUGAUCAGUCGUUUUACGACGUGAGGAACCCAAUGGCUUUGAAAAGUAUUGAGAAAUUGAAUUAUUUACAAAUAUAGAAUUUUGAGAAUGACUAAUAACUGAAUGUUCAUUGAUAAAGAAGAUUGAAAUGGAAUUUCUGAAGACACGGCAGUUUGGCAAUUUAUGGGAUUAGAUUUUGAAACAGUUGUACUCUAAAAAUAUAUAUGUUUACAUUUAGUAGUAUAAAUAUUUACUUAUUUUUCUACUGUAUGUAUAAAUUAAUUAAUAAUAAUCAAAUAUUAAAUAUGAGAA